This is a long non-coding RNA of Herpailurus yagouaroundi (jaguarundi), 3775 nucleotides long. RefSeq lists it as uncharacterized. The record is from RefSeq and is a predicted model, not a curated record. Lineage: Eukaryota; Metazoa; Chordata; Mammalia; Carnivora; Felidae. The transcript has 3 exons.
GGCCCGCGCCAAAAUCAAGAGUCGAGCGCUCAAUCGACUGAGCCACCCAGGCACCCUGAUGCAUUGCAAUGACUUAUGAGCCUCUUAGUAUAAAAGGAGGUGGGACUGGAUGCAGAGGGUCAAGGCAUCCUUCCGGCUUUUCCACGUACCCGCCUUCCUCACCUCACAGACAUCCUCACAGAGGAUGUCACCGCCUGCAAGGCGCCCCCGCAGACGUGCCGCGACAGGUGAAUGAGAUAGCAUCUCUGGAGGGUCUGCAAAGCUCGGGGGUGGUAGAGGUGGCCUCAGAGAUUAUGAAGCCUCGGCUUCUCCCUUGUUUUGCUUAGAGAGAGACAGGGAGCGACAGAGAGACAGAGGGAGAGCGGAGGUUAACAUGAGCCAAAGAUACAGGACCGAGCGCCCCAAUUCCCGUGUCUGGUUCCAGAUGAAAUACCACUCGUGCAGGGAGAGGAUCGCGCGGGGCUGGCAGUUCUGGAGGCCAGUCGAUUCUGCGCCGUUCCUGGAGGAAGAGAGUAGGUAGGUGCAGGCCACAAUGUGUCACUCUGUCCUGGGGGUAUUGAGUCUCCAGUUUCCAGUAUUAUGGCCAAGCUAAAGCUAUGGACCCGUAGAUACAAUGAUCUACUUUAGGUUUCAAGAUUUGUUAUCUCCUAAGUGAGACCAAGGAGAUGGCUUUUGCAAAGGUUUCCAGUGGGGGGGGGGGGGCGCGCAAACCAGAAUGCGACGUCUACAGGAAGGAACCCAGUGUGGUUUUCAUUAGGGCUUUAAGGUCUGAAGUCACUAUUGCUUUCGCAAGGAAAGAUGCGGUUAGAGUCUCUUUCCCCUUCCAGAUUGCAGGACCUCGUGGCCCCGUGUCCGUCCGCCGUAGCUCACUGGGGGCCAGAGGUGACUUCAGAAGGGAGUAGGGCCUCCGAUGCUGGCCUCCGCUCCUGUUCACAGGGCUGCCUCCUCUGAGUUUCCACGCCUGGCUAAGUGCGAUCACGCCAAGGUGUAUGCAACAGUGAAGGCACGUAUUACAUGCUCAGUGGAUGUUGUUAUAACAAAGAUCAUCAUCUCUUCUCUGCAGGGAACGUGGCUAUAAAAGGGAGUGACCACGUGCCUGCGUGUUUUAGGCACUUGGGGAACGUUACUCUUUUCUCUUAGAUGUUCUGUCGCGACAGACAAGGAUUGAGCAUGAGAAUAGAAGGUGACGUUUGCAGGGCUGACAAGAAGUGACCAGAACCUUAGAAUUUUGGAGGAGUAAUGAGGAGACAGAGGUGGGCAGCUCUCAGUUAGGUGCCCACACAUGUGUGCGCGUGCAUGAACCGCUCACGCACAACACGGAGGCUGUGAUGUUGAAUGUGACGUGAUGUUGAAUGUGCCAGGAGUUGGCUCAGAUAUGAGGCACGCUGGAGAGGCCGUGCCCUCACUCAGAUGCAGGGGCUGACCCGGAGGCUGGGCCUGGACAGAGGUGCCUCACCUGAGGGGUCCAGUAGGUGACUCUUCUUCAUACAUGGAAGUGAUGGAAGGCAGUGCAUUUCAGAGAAGCCCGAUGGAUUUCUCUAGGUUCCCGACAGUUGGAGGGAGGGUUCCCCCACUGGGGUAGGAGGCAAGGGGAGCUGAGAGCUGAAUGAUGAAGCAACAGGUGGGAGAACUGCCCUGAAGAAGUUUCUCAGCUCAGGCGUGUAUUGCCAAAACCAGGUUUUUAUCAGAAGCCUGAGCAUCUUAUGGGGUUGGGGGUCACUACCUUGUGACCGGUGCGGACAGAGCUGGGAGGCCACACACACCUCUGUCAGGGAAGGAGCCUCCCUGCUCCGUGUCUGGGGAGACAGACUGCUGGAAAACCUUGUUGGGUCGGGGCACCCGGGCUGUCCAGUCGCCCUGUGCAGAGGGACAAGUCUCAGCUGUGGUUGGGAUGGCUUGGGCACCUUUGUCCCAGCCAGGGACUCUCCAGGUCAGUAAGGGCGUCUCCGGAUGACUGGCCAAGAAAGCAAGUGCUAAGCGGGUGAGGGGUCCACUGUGAACUGAGACCAAAUGCAAAGGGGUCUGAUGAGGUGACAGAUAAGGGAUACUUUAUUGUGGCUUUUACGAUCAUUGGUCAUUUUACAAGUCUUCCCCGGGGCUCACCUGCUUUGAAACAUAGUAUUUCUACAACACAGGCAUCUACGAGUUAGCUUUUCAGCUGUCAUAAUAUUUGAUCAUUAAAUUCCACAGAUGAGGAACUCGACCUUUGAGAUAAGUAAUUUGCCCAGGUUUACGCAGCUUGAGAGGUGGAAAACGUGACCGGCCUCAGAGCUGGUGCUUUAUCUCUUGGCCUGAGUGUCCUAAACUCAUCUGGGUUCUCAGAAGUCAGAAUGGGUUGGUUGGUUCCUUCCUGAAGGUCAUUUAUGGCGAUGUGUGCAUUCAACCCUUGCCUGCAGGCAGCCUCUGGUGCUGUGUGGGUGUGUGCUUGUGAGUAGGGGAUGUUCACCCAAGCCUGCAUCAGAUUCCAUCUAAGCCAACCAGGGGCCCUUCCCACCGGGUGUCACCAAACACCCAGCAAGGCCAUUUGGCUGUUUUAUAGCACACGUGAGUGAGGCCGGGCUGGGUUCUGUCGUAUGAUGAGGCAUAAUUCCCUCUCGGGAAGCCCCGGAAACAUGUUUCUCUUCAGCCUGUUUAAAGGUUUUACUCUAUGAGAUAUUGGUUAAUGAUCACAAAGUAAUAAUCAUUUGCCAUUAAAAACAGGUGCUCGUCCCUGCACUUGACGCUGGUGUCUGGGGCCGCUGGGAGAAGAGCUGAGUCCGUACGCGGUGCACAGGCGUUGGCGGACGAAGGCUGCAAGCCCCAGGUGGGCAGAGCAUCCAGCUGAGGCCCCCUGAGCUUGCGCUUGGUGCUAUCUUACUACCACCGGUCCCAUUGGCUCAAGACCUUAUCAUUUCCUUGGGUGGGGGCUCUUCCCAGCCCUGUGGACGCCCUGUCCAAAUACAGGAAGGGCCCCGCACGCUGGAGUUAGUCUGGUGGGCCUGCACUGUCGCCCUGAUCUUCCUUAGAAAAAUACGAUUGACUGCCUAGAAAAAACGCCCAAAGACAGAUCCCAAGAAAACUGGUGACUGCUCACUGUGCAUGCCUGAUUCUCCAGGAGCGGUAAACCCGACUUUACUCGAACAAGGCACUGGGAGGAGACGUGUGGCUAGACUGCAGCCACGAGCAGCACCACCACCAAGCUCCUGGGCUCCGGAACGCGAUUUUGGGCUACAGGCCCUUCUCAACGCCUGUAACGUUGCCCCAGCGAUGCGACAGCUGUGGGCCGUGAGGGCCACUAGUUGGCCUCUUCGUGUUGGGGUCCACGUCAGAGAUUUUAUAGGAAGCAUGGGACAGGAAUGUAAGAAGCCAUGAUUCUUUAUCUGCUUAAGCAAAGUUCAGUUUGGUUCCCUCAGCGUGUCCAGAAGCAAAAGUACGAAACAAGGCUUCUCCUUCCCCUGGAUUGCGCCUUGGAACCUGGGAGCCCGGGAGCCCACCCACACCGAGGUCAUAUCCCAGAGAAUCAAGUCAGAACCCUUGGGGCUGAGACGUAGGCAGCAGUGGUUUCUCUUGGGCUCUUGAUCGCAUCGAUGUGCAGCCUCUCUUGAGAACCACUAGUGGGCCCGGGCUUAGAGAAGACAACAGGUGUGUUUGUUAUAUUAGAGAAACCAACCUUACUCCAUUCUGAAACAGCCAAGUUAUUUAUUUUUCAAUAGCUCCGUCUGGCUCUAGAGUGUUAUUUUUGGAUCCUCAACAUUCAGCAGUCAAUAAAAAUGCCUUGAACUUGACGGCUACAGAG